Molecule: ribosomal RNA, 1591 nt
Filed under: Amblypygi sp. MCZ IZ-126184
Lineage: Eukaryota; Metazoa; Arthropoda; Arachnida; Amblypygi
Description: SSU rRNA
Rfam family: Eukaryotic small subunit ribosomal RNA
Source: RNAcentral
UCAUAUGCUUGUCUCAAAGAUUAAGCCAUGCAUGUCUAAGUACAUGCCGAACUAAGGUGAAACCGCGAAUGGCUCAUUAAAUCAGUUAUGGUUCCUUAGAUCGUACGUAUCUACUUGGAUAACUGUGGUAAUUCUAGAGCUAAUACAUGCAGCAGAGCUCCGACCUUCGGGGACGAGCGCUUUUAUUAGACCAAAACCAAUCGGACCUCGGUCUGACUGCGGUGGUGACUCUGGAUAACUUUGGGCUGAUCGCACGGUCUCGUACCGGCGACGCAUCUUUCAAGUGUCUGCCUUAUCAACUGUCGAUGGUAGGUUAUGCGCCUACCAUGGUCGUAACGGGUAACGGGGAAUCAGGGUUCGAUUCCGGAGAGGGAGCCUGAGAAACGGCUACCACAUCCAAGGAAGGCAGCAGGCGCGCAAAUUACCCACUCCCGGCACGGGGAGGUAGUGACGAAAAAUAACAAUACGGGACUCUAUUGAGGCCCCGUAAUUGGAAUGAGUACACUCUAAAUCCUUUAACGAGGAUCUAUUGGAGGGCAAGUCUGGUGUUUUCCUUGGUUCUCUUUGCUGAGUGUCUUGGGUGACCGGCACGUUUACUUUGAAAAAAUUAGAGUGCUCAAAGCAGGCGUGUCGCCUGAAUAAUGGUGCAUGGAAUAAUGGAAUAGGACCUCGGUUCUAUUUUGUUGGUUUUCGGAACUCGAGGUAAUGAUUAAGAGGGACAGACGGAGGCAUUCGUAUUGCGACGCUAGAGGUGAAAUUCUUGGACCGUCGCAAGACGAACUACUGCGAAAGCAUUUGCCGAGAAUGUUUUCAUUAAUCAAGAACGAAAGUUAGAGGUUCGAAGGCGAUCAGAUACCGCCCUAGUUCUAACCAUAAACGAUGCCAACCAGCGAUCCGCCUGAGUUCCUCAACUGACUCGGCGGGCAGCUUCCGGGAAACCAAAGUGUUUGGGUUCCGGGGGAAGUAUGGUUGCAAAGCUGAAACUUAAAGGAAUUGACGGAAGGGCACCACCAGGAGUGGAGCCUCCGGCUUAAUUUGACUCAACACGGGAAAACUUACCCGGCCCGGACACCGGAAGGAUUGACAGAUUAAGAGCUCUUUCUUGAUUCGGUGGGUGGUGGUGCAUGGCCGUUCUUAGUUGGUGGAGCGAUUUGUCUGGUUAAUUCCGAUAACGAACGAGACUCUAGCCUACUAAAUAGCCGGCCGAUCCCUCGGAGUCGGCCGGUCUUCUUAGAGGGACAAGCGGCGUUUAGCCGCACGAGACAGAGCAAUAACAGGUCUGUGAUGCCCUUAGAUGUCCGGGGCCGCACGCGCGCUACACUGAAGGAACCAGCGUGUGCUCUCCCUGUCCGGCAGGACUGGGUAACCCGUUCAACCUCCUUCGUGAUAGGGAUAGGGGCUUGUAAUUGUUCCCCUUGAACGAGGAAUUCCCAGUAAGCGCGAGUCAUAAGCUCGUGUUGAUUACGUCCCUGCCCUUUGUACACACCGCCCGUCGCUACUACCGAUUGAAUGAUUUAGUGAGGUCUUCGGACUGGCGCUCGGAGCGGCCUCCGGGUCGCGCCGGCGUGCCGGAAAGAUGACCAAACUUGAU